This 484-nucleotide ribosomal RNA is filed under the name uncultured bacterium. RNAcentral describes it as "partial 16S ribosomal RNA". It matches the Rfam family "Bacterial small subunit ribosomal RNA", at positions 30 to 507 of the family's 1533-position model. The record is from RNAcentral.
AUUGAACGCUGGCGGCAGGCCUAACACAUGCAAGUCGAGCGGAUGAAGGGAGCUUGCUCCUGGAUUCAGCGGCGGACGGGUGAGUAAUGCCUAGGAAUCUGCCUGGUAGUGGGGGAUAACGUCCGGAAACGGGCGCUAAUACCGCAUACGUCCUGAGGGAGAAAGUGGGGGAUCUUCGGACCUCACGCUAUCAGAUGAGCCUAGGUCGGAUUAGCUAGCUGGUGGGGUAAAGGCCUACCAAGGCGACGAUCCGUAACUGGUCUGAGAGGAUGAUCAGUCACACUGGAACUGAGACACGGUCCAGACUCCUACGGGAGGCAGCAGUGGGGAAUAUUGGACAAUGGGCGAAAGCCUGAUCCAGCCAUGCCGCGUGUGUGAAGAAGGUCUUCGGAUUGUAAAGCACUUUAAGUUGGGAGGAAGGGCAGUAAGUUAAUACCUUGCUGUUUUGACGUUACCAACAGAAUAAGCACCGGCUAUCUUCGUG